Molecule: unclassified non-coding RNA, 319 nt
Filed under: uncultured Thelephoraceae
Lineage: Eukaryota; Fungi; Basidiomycota; Agaricomycetes; Thelephorales; Thelephoraceae
Description: sequence contains 5.8S rRNA gene
Source: RNAcentral
GAACGCACCUUGCGCCCUUUGGCUAUUCCGGAGGGCAUGCCUGUUUGAGUAUCAUGAAUAUCUCAACUCCUCACGGUUUUCCCGUGACGAGCUUGGACUUUGGGGGUCUUGCUGGCCUGCAGGUCGGCUCCUCUCAAAUGAAUCAGCUUGCCGGUGUUUGGUGGCGUCACAGGUGUGAUAACUAUCUACGCUUGUGGUUUUCCGCCAGGUAACCUCCAGCGAUGGGGGUUCACUGGAGCUCACAAACGUCUCUCCUCGGUGAGGACAGCUCUUUGAACGUUUGAUCUCAAAUCAGGUAGGACUACCCGCUGAACUUAAG